CUGGUUAAAAUAAGCCUUUAACACAAUCUUAAUUAACAUACUAUCCCUCAACUUAUCCCUCCUUUUUUUGCCGCAUUUCUGGUUCUCCCUUUUUAACUGUAAAACGUCUGACUUAACUGUUUUUUUAACUGUGUUUUUUUAAUUAAUUAAGGUUUUUAGUUUAAUUCUGGUAAUUUAUGAUUAUCAAUUAGGAUGUUCUUUUCUUGAUUUGCCAUGAUUUGCCUUGAUUUUUGGUGCUAGCCUUUACUAGCGUUUUUUUGUUAUUAGAUACGUCGUUUGGUAAUUGGCUUUCCAUGUGCAGUCAAUGUGCAUUCAACUCUUUUGGAUCAAUACUUAAUAGAUAGCUGUUAUUAUGUGCUUUAUUGGUUAUGUUGAAAAAUCAUGCAAAUCCAUUAAAAAUAUGAAUCGAUUCACCCAACGAUCCAACGUGAUGUUGGUUGGUUAAGUUCAAUUCAUACGGGAUCUAGGAUUACCAUUAGUGUGUUUUUGCUAAGCUAGUUUCAUUGCUUCGGAUGGAUGGAAACAUGGAUCAAUCAAGAAAUUUCACCUGAUAAUGAACAAUCAUUUUCCAAUGCAUAAUUCAUAUGCAUUGAUCAUGGAGAAGGAAUAUUGCGUGAAGAAAGCAUUUUGUUAUUUUCAUACUUAAAAAGCAUUUUUAUUUGCUUCUGAUUGAAAAAAAGAGUUCAGCUUUACAGUCCAGGUUUGUCUGAUUAUCUAAACAUUUAACAGAAAACGUUUCUGAAAAUUGCAACCAUCAAUUUAAAAUGUUUCCAACAAUGCAACUUUAAGAUGAGAAACAAAAUUUUCUCAUCGGCAUGCAUCUAUUUUCCUGAAUUUAAGUUGAUUUCAUUCGAUCAUUUAUUACAGAUUGAAAUAAAUGUGAAAAUGAACAAAUUGGCAAAAGAUAAUUGGAUGAUUGAUGAUCCCAUGUUUUGAUUUAAAGUUAUCAUGACUAAAAAGGAGAAAGAGGUAAAAUAGGAAGAAGUAAAAAAUAUCAAAUAAUAAAUUGACAUUAACUGAAUCAAACUAGAGGAAACAAUCAUAAUAUUUGGUGAAAAAAAGUAGAACAUCGAUUUCCAAUUGAGUAAAUUUUUUACUCAGACUUUCUGGUUUACCUUAUGUUAUUUUUCAUUCUCUUCCUGUUUAUCUCUUCACCAUUAUCAUCAUCAUUCCCAAUCUUCAUUGUCUUCCCAUUCAGCCUUAUCUCUAGCUUAAAACCUCUUCAGUUUUAUGUUGUUUUUUGCCUGGUGAAAUAUUUAUUCCUUGUUUAUAAUAGAAGUCUAAUCUGUAAAUCCUAUCAUUGUUAUUAUGGGUAAAAAAGCAGAAGAAAAAGAUGAUGAAAAGAAGAACAAGAAUUAUCAUCAUACUUGAUUCUUUUGUAAUAAUAUUACUCAAAUUUGUUGGUAAUUUAUAUCAACCGGGAUCAUCAUAUAUCAACAAUUGUACCAAAAAUGCUGAUCUAAGCACUAAUCAUCAACAAAAUCAUUGAUCUAUACUAAUACACAUCUGAUUGUUCAAUUCAUUGUUUCUGUAAGAUUUAAGGAUUUAGCCCUUCAUCCCACUAUUUAUAUUCAUUUCCUCAAUUUGGCCUCUUAAUCGAUUGUAAAUUGUCAACCAUUGUACUCAAUUUAUCCUCAAAUCAAGCCACUUGCAAUGAACCUUUCAAAAUCAAUCCGGCAAUAAUGCGAAAAGCAAACUCCAAAUGCUUCAAGAUUAAACUUGCUAUUGACCAUGUUAUUAGCUUUUCAUUAGAA
This is a non-coding RNA of Tetranychus urticae (two-spotted spider mite), 1754 nucleotides long. NCBI's taxonomy places the organism in Eukaryota, Metazoa, Arthropoda, Arachnida, Trombidiformes, Tetranychidae. The record is from RefSeq and is a predicted model, not a curated record.